CGGACGGGUGAGUAAUGUCUGGGAAACUGCCCGAUGGAGGGGGAUAACUACUGGAAACGGUAGCUAAUACCGCAUAAUGUCUGCGGACCAAAGCGGGGGACCUUCGGGCCUCUUGCCAUCGGAUGUGCCCAGAUGGGAUUAGCUAGUAGGUGGGGUAACGGCUCACCUAGGCGACGAUCCCUAGCUGGUCUGAGAGGAUGACCAGCCACACUGGAACUGAGACACGGUCCAG
RNAcentral lists this ribosomal RNA (232 nucleotides) under uncultured bacterium. RNAcentral describes it as "partial 16S ribosomal RNA". It matches the Rfam family "Bacterial small subunit ribosomal RNA", at positions 99 to 334 of the family's 1533-position model. The record is from RNAcentral.